AUCCAGCUGACGGGUCCCAAAAAGAGGACGAAACACGUGUUGUGGAU
RNAcentral lists this non-coding RNA (47 nucleotides) under Schistosoma mattheei. Lineage: Eukaryota; Metazoa; Platyhelminthes; Trematoda; Strigeidida; Schistosomatidae. The record is from RNAcentral.